Molecule: long non-coding RNA, 947 nt
Organism: Eriocheir sinensis (Chinese mitten crab)
Lineage: Eukaryota; Metazoa; Arthropoda; Malacostraca; Decapoda; Varunidae
Exons: 3
Source: RefSeq, a predicted model, not a curated record
UGUUCGUGGCAAAAAGGGAAGAAGAGAAGGUGAGGUUUAGGAGAUAUGUUUGAGGCCAUAAGGGAAGAAGAGAAGGUGGGGUUUAGGAGAUAUGUUUGAGGCAAUAGGGAAGAAGAGAAGGUGAGGUUUAGGAGAUAUGUUCGUGGCAAAAAGGGAAGAAGAGAAGGUGAGGUUUAGGAGAUAUGUUCGAGGCAAUAGGGAAGAAGAGAAGGUGGGGUUUAGAGGAUAUGUGAAGGGCGAUUAGAGAAAAUUUAGAUGUGAGAUUUAGGAAUUAUUUAUUUCUGCGUUGAGAUGAAAGUAUAAAGAAGAGAAGGUGAGGGUUAGGGGAUUUGAGUAUAAGAGAUGAGGAAGAAGUGAAGAAGGAAAGAAGAGGAAGGGAAGACAAGCUGGAGGCGGAGGUGUAACGGUGUGUGAGAGAGAAGAAAGAGGAGAAGGUUGGGGUUAGGGGACGAGUGAUCUCAAAUGCACCUGUUAGAAAAGUGGAGCAAAAAGGGAAACUAAACUAUAUAUGGAGACUAACCAAUACGGGAAGAAGAGAAGGUGAGGGUAAGGGGAUAUGUCUGGGAAGGAACCGGAGGAAAGAAGAGAAGGUUGGGGUUAGGGGAAGUGUGAUCUCAAAUGCACCUGUUAGAAAAGUGGAGCAAAAUGGGAAACUGAACUAAAUAUGGAGACUAACUCAUAGGGGAAGAAGAGAAGGUGAGGGUUAGGAGAUAUGUCUGGGAAGGAACCGGAGGAAAGAGGAGAAGGUUGGGGUUAGGGGAAGUGUGAUCUCAAAUGCACCUGUUAGAAAAGUGGAGCAAAAAGGGAAACUGAACUAAAUAUGGAGACUAACUAAUAGAGGAAGAAGAGAAGGUGAGGGUUAGGGGAUAUGACUGGGAAGGAACCGGAGGAAAGAGGAGAAGGUUGGGGUUAGGGGACGAGUGAUCUCAAAUGCACCUGUUAGAAAA